RNAcentral lists this ribosomal RNA (898 nucleotides) under uncultured bacterium. RNAcentral's name for it is "bacterial SSU rRNA". It matches the Rfam family "Bacterial small subunit ribosomal RNA", at positions 8 to 916 of the family's 1533-position model. The record is from RNAcentral.
AGAGUUUGAUCAUGGCUCAGGACGAACGCUGGCGGCGUGCUUAACACAUGCAAGUCACGGGGGCUCGCAAGAGCAACCGGCGAACGGGUGCGUAACACGUGAGCAACCUGCCGAUCUGUGGGGGAUAGCCGGGCUAACGCCCGGGUAAUACCGCAUACGUUCUCUUGGGGGAGUCCCCGAGAGAGGAAACCUCCGGGGCAGAUCGAGGGGCUCGCGGCCUAUCAGCUAGUUGGUGUGGGUAAUGGCCCACCAAGGCGACGACGGGUAGCUGGUCUGAGAGGAUGGCCAGCCACAUUGGGACUGAGAGACGGCCCAGACUCCUACGGGAGGCAGCAGUGGGGAAUCUUGCGCAAUGGCCGAAAGGCUGACGCAGCGACGCCGCGUGUGGGAGGACGCCUUUCGGGGUGUAAACCACUGUUGCCCGGGACGAACAGCUUCUUUCGAGGAGCCUGACGGUACCGGGUGAGGAAGCACCGGCUAACUCCGUGCCAGCAGCCGCGGUAAUACGGAGGGUGCGAGCGUUGUCCGGAAUCAUUGGGCGUAAAGGGCGCGUAGGUGGCCCGGUCAGCGUGCGGUGAAAGCUCGGGGCUCAACCCCGAGUCGGCCGUGCGAACUGCUGGGCUCGAGCACUGUAGAGGCAGGCGGAAUUCCGGGUGUAGCGGUGGAAUGCGUAGAGAUCCGGAAGAACACCGGUGGCGAAGGCGGCCUGCUGGGCAGUGGCUGACACUGAGGCGCGACAGCGUGGGGAGCAAACAGGAUUAGAUACCCUGGUAGUCCACGCCGUAAACGAUGGGCACUAGGCGCUUGGGGGAGCGACCCUCCGAGGGCCGGCGCUAACGCAUUAAGUGCCCCGCCUGGGGAGUACGGCCGCAAGGCUGAAACUCAAAGGAAUUGACGG